GUCGGGAUAGCUCAGUCGG
RNAcentral lists this transfer RNA (19 nucleotides) under Anaphalioides trinervis. RNAcentral describes it as "partial tRNA-Phe". The record is from RNAcentral. RNAcentral also lists the same sequence under 12 other names. Lineage: Eukaryota; Viridiplantae; Streptophyta; Magnoliopsida; Asterales; Asteraceae.